This 253-nucleotide ribosomal RNA is filed under the name uncultured bacterium. RNAcentral's name for it is "partial 16S ribosomal RNA". It matches the Rfam family "Bacterial small subunit ribosomal RNA", at positions 524 to 776 of the family's 1533-position model. The record is from RNAcentral.
UACGUAGGGCGCAAGCGUUAUCCGGAAUUAUUGGGCGUAAAGAGCUCGUAGGCGGUUUGUCGCGUCUGCCGUGAAAGUCCGGGGCUCAACUCCGGAUCUGCGGUGGGUACGGGCAGACUAGAGUGAUGUAGGGGAGACUGGAAUUCCUGGUGUAGCGGUGAAAUGCGCAGAUAUCAGGAGGAACACCCGUGGCUAAGGCGGUUCUCUAGUACGGUACUGACGCUGAGACGCGAAAGCGUGGGGAGCGAACAGG